Long non-coding RNA from Trifolium pratense (red clover), 1186 nucleotides. RefSeq lists it as uncharacterized. Lineage: Eukaryota; Viridiplantae; Streptophyta; Magnoliopsida; Fabales; Fabaceae. The transcript has 6 exons. The record is from RefSeq and is a predicted model, not a curated record.
UAACACACAUAUUUUCCCAAAAACAUAACAUUUCGCUAAAAUGAGUGAGACGAUUCCGACACCGAAUCGCACAAUACGCCGCCUUCAAUCCUCCUCCGCUGUUCAAUCUCAUCCGCCACCGUUUAUUCUCCUCCGCCGCUGUUUAAUUUGGAAGCACAAUCCGUCAAUCUAUCGGUUGUUCUCCUUCAAACCCUACUCCGUCGAAGAACCACAACCCCUCCGCCGUUCUCUGUCGUUCUUUGCAUUUCCAAGGAAGGAACCAACUACACACUCCUCCAUAAAUAUGUUUUUGUCAUGGAAGCAAGCUUAUGAAAGAUUGUGAUUGCUUUCAAGUUUCAAUUCAGGUGUUUGCUAACAGGGGUCAUAUGGUUUUUGAUCCAGUCAUUGACUAAUAGCAUCUCUUCAACAAGGAUUUUUAAACCUUGUUGAAGGAGAAAGACAAAUUCAAACCUGGAUCUAAGGUAGAAGAAAAUUAAGGGUUGUUUAAGAACAAGUGGAGUAGCAGCAAAAGCUGUGUUUCUGUUACUAAACAACUCGUCUAGUGAGAAGCAUCAUCGCCUAGCGAGGACAGCAGCGUGCUCUGCCUCUGUGUGUUGUUCUCUCCCCUAUCCAACAAUUCUUGAUCAUAGGUAAGCAAACUCAAGCUCUUUUCCUUCUCUCCAGGAUUAUUCUAUUCUUUUGGUGUUAGAAAUAUCACUAAUCUCAUUCUUGGUAAUUGUAUGUGGCUUGUUUGGAGAAAGAGGCUGUGAUUAAAGUAUUUGGAGCUGGGAAUUGAAUGAAAAUGGAAGGACAUGGCCAUUUGGAGAAAGCUUCACAUUGAGUAGGGUAUUGUGCUCCCCCCCCCCCCCAAAAAAAAAAAAAGACUGCAGCUAUUUAGGAGCGAGGCCGGGUUUCUCUCUUAUUUGACGUUGUACGUUGUUUAGCUUAAGUUUUGGUAAGUUGCUAUAUAGGAGCUCUUAGGUCUUGCGAACUGUCUUGAUUUUGAUGACAAUAUUAGUGAUGCAAUUUAGGAAAGGGAUGUAUAGUAUGGUGCUAUUGUACAUAUGUGAUUUGAAUUUAAUAAGUAUUAGGCUUUGGCAUUUUAGUGUGGUGAACUAUCUUGAUUUAGGAAGGGAUCUAGGUAUGUGUGAAGUUAUUGUUGUAUGGUGAAUUGUUUUGAUAUUAAUUUUGGAUGUUGAGUGGUACA